UGCCACAAUGAUUCGGGUAAAGAGGGCAGGGUUACAUGGUUCCUCAGCAGCCGUAGAGCUCUCGUCUUCAGGUAUCGCAGGUUUGAAGUCCGCAUUGUCUAUAAUGUAAAGCACGAUCAUAGAAACAGUCAGAAUCAAAUAAAAUGCUCCGACGAUGCCGAAUGCAUAGUAAACGCUCGACUCGCCCGUGCCAUUUUGAGCGGUGGAGCUAUUGGCCAGAUCUACCAAGUUGACAGGCGGGUAAGCGAUGUUGUUCUGGGUCAGGUAUACGUUGUCGGUAGUGUUCGAUGUGGUCGCAUUACCA
This is a long non-coding RNA of Dermacentor silvarum, 304 nucleotides long. RefSeq lists it as uncharacterized. Lineage: Eukaryota; Metazoa; Arthropoda; Arachnida; Ixodida; Ixodidae. The record is from RefSeq and is a predicted model, not a curated record. The transcript is spliced from 3 exons.